CCGGUACUGAACUCGCAG
RNAcentral lists this non-coding RNA (18 nucleotides) under Drosophila melanogaster (fruit fly). Lineage: Eukaryota; Metazoa; Arthropoda; Insecta; Diptera; Drosophilidae. The record is from RNAcentral.